Molecule: ribosomal RNA, 977 nt
Filed under: Xanthomonas sp. AMF1021
Lineage: Bacteria; Pseudomonadati; Pseudomonadota; Gammaproteobacteria; Lysobacterales; Lysobacteraceae
Also listed under: 1 other name
Description: bacterial SSU rRNA
Rfam family: Bacterial small subunit ribosomal RNA
Source: RNAcentral
CUACACAUGCAGUCGAACGGCAGCACAGUAAGAGCUUGCUCUUAUGGGUGGCGAGUGGCGGAUGGGUGAGGAAUACAUCGGAAUCUACCUUUUCGUGGGGGAUAACGUAGGGAAACUUACGCUAAUACCGCAUACGACCUUCGGGUGAAAGCAGGGGACCUUCGGGCCUUGCGCGGAUAGAUGAGCCGAUGUCGGAUUAGCUAGUUGGCGGGGUAAAGGCCCACCAAGGCGACGAUCCGUAGCUGGUCUGAGAGGAUGAUCAGCCACACUGGAACUGACACACGGCCCACACUCCUACGGGAGGCAGCAUUGGGGAAUAUUGGACAAUGGGCGCAAGCCUGAUCCAGCCAUACCGCGUGGGUGAAGAAGGCCUUCGGGUUGUAAAGCCCUUUUGUUGGGAAAGAAAAGCAAUCCAUUAAUACCCGGUUGUUCUGACGGUACCCAAAGAAUAAGCACCGGCUAACUUCGUGCCAGCAGCCGCGGUAAUACGAAGGGUGCAAGCGUUACUCGGAAUUACUGGGCGUAAAGCGUGCGUAGGUGGUUGUUUAAGUCUGUUGUGAAAGCCCUGGGCUCAACCUGGGAAUUGCAUUGGAUACUGGGCAACUAGAGUGUGGUAGAGGGUAGUGGAAUUCCCGGUGUAGCACUGAAAUGCGUAGAGAUCGGGAGGAACAUCCAUGGCGAACGCAGCUACCUGGACCAACACUGACACUGAGGCACGAAAGCGUGGGGAGCAAACAGGAUUAGAUACCCUGGUAGUCCACGCCCUAAACGAUGCGAACUGGAUGUUGGGUGCAAUUUGGCACGCAGUAUCGAAGCUAACGCGUUAAGUUCGCCGCCUGGGGAGUACGGUCGCAAGACUGAAACUCAAAGGAAUUGACGGGGGCCCGCACAAGCGGUGGAGUAUGUGGUUUAAUUCGAUGCAACGCGAACAACCUUACCUGGUCUUGACAUGUCGAGAACUUUCCAGAGAUGGCAUU